This 359-nucleotide ribosomal RNA is filed under the name uncultured Symbiodinium. RNAcentral describes it as "eukaryotic LSU rRNA". The record is from RNAcentral. Lineage: Eukaryota; Dinophyceae; Suessiales; Symbiodiniaceae.
GGGGCCAUUGACGGCAUUGCGCUCUUGGGAUAUGCCUGAGAGCAUGUCUGCUUCAGUGCUUCUACUUUCAUUUUCUGCUGCUCUUGUUAUCGGGAGCAGUGUUGCUGCAUGCUUCUGCAAAAGGCACUGGCAUGCUAAGUAUCAAGUUUUGCUUGCUGUUCUGACUGAUCAACAUCUCAUGUCGUUUCAGUUGGCGAAACAAAAGCUGAAGUGUGUUCUUAACACUUCCUAGCAUGAAGUCAGACAAGUGAACCCGCUGAACUUAACAUAAUGGAUCCCAAUAACAAGUGCAGUCUUGACCUCAAAUCAAGCAAGGCUACCCGCUGAACUUAAGCAUAUGGAUCCCAAAAAGGAACCUA